AUUUUUGUAGUAUACAGAAAGUACGCCUAGUUUCCACCUAGAGGGAUCAUUUGACAAAAAUA
RNAcentral lists this transfer RNA (62 nucleotides) under Glyptonotus cf. antarcticus FK-2009. RNAcentral describes it as "tRNA-Gly". Lineage: Eukaryota; Metazoa; Arthropoda; Malacostraca; Isopoda; Chaetiliidae. The record is from RNAcentral.